GCCAUUUUUCCAAUACUGUGUGCACAUUUUCAGAUUCAAAAUUAUCUGUAUCACUACAGUCUCUUAGUCUGUAAGAGUAGUCUAUGAACAUCUAAUGAAGGCAAGAUUUUACCCACUUGUUGAUGUGUUGGUCCCAGCAAGAAUGCAUGAACCUUGGUGUACUUUGCUAUAUCAUGUGGAAGAGCUAGCAACUAUAUUCAACAUUACAGAUGUGCUAAUAUUAUAGUGAUGGUAACUGGAUCCUGG
This 246-nucleotide long non-coding RNA is filed under the name Elaeis guineensis (African oil palm). RNAcentral's name for it is "long non-coding RNA (EGUI_LNC072429)". Lineage: Eukaryota; Viridiplantae; Streptophyta; Magnoliopsida; Arecales; Arecaceae. The record is from RNAcentral.